This 499-nucleotide ribosomal RNA is filed under the name uncultured Glomeromycotina. RNAcentral describes it as "partial small subunit ribosomal RNA". It matches the Rfam family "Eukaryotic small subunit ribosomal RNA", at positions 591 to 1092 of the family's 1831-position model. The record is from RNAcentral. Lineage: Eukaryota; Fungi; Glomeromycota.
CCAAUAGCGUAUAUUAAAGUUGUUGCAGUUAAAAAGCUCGUAGUUGAAUUUCGGGAUCAAGGAAUCGGUCAUGCCUCGGUAUGUACUGGUUUUAUUGGUUCUCACCUUCUAAAGAACCAUAAUGUCAUUUAUUUGAUGUUAUGGGGAAUUAGGACUGUUACCUUGAAAAAAUUAGAGUGUUUAAAGCAAGCUUACGCUUGAAUACAUUAGCAUGGAAUAAUGAAAUAGGACAUCCGAUUCUAUUUUGUUGGUUUCUAGGAUCGAUGUAAUGAUUAAUAGGGAUAGUUGGGGGCAUUAGUAUUCAAUUGUCAGAGGUGAAAUUCUUGGAUUUAUUGAAGACUAACUACUGCGAAAGCAUUCGCCAAGGAUGUUUUCAUUAAUCAAGAACGAAAGUUAGGGGAUCGAAGACGAUCAGAUACCGUCGUAGUCUUAACCAUAAACUAUGCCGACUAGGGAUCGGAUGAUGUUUAUUUUUUAGUGACUCAUUCGGCACCUUACG